AGGCAACUAUAUAAACCUGUUUGAAAUAAGAAGAGCAAAUGGAGCUUUGAAGUUCUUACCAAACAUGAAUUUGGAUAGAAAAAUCAAACACAUAUGGUGCCCACAUGGAUUGCCAGCUGCUGCCUGUACUUUUGUCAAGGACGUCACAAGCAACUGGUGAACUCUCUGAAGGUCAUUGAGGUCACUUACUACACCACUUGCUAUCCAAGCACUGCAAACCUAGCAUACAUAGAACAGCAAAUGAUGUGGUUACUUUUUGUCCAGUGCAAUAAACUUUUUUAUAUUAGUUACUGA
Candoia aspera is the source of this 294-nucleotide long non-coding RNA. RefSeq lists it as uncharacterized. NCBI's taxonomy places the organism in Eukaryota, Metazoa, Chordata, Lepidosauria, Squamata, Candoiidae. The record is from RefSeq and is a predicted model, not a curated record. The transcript has 2 exons.